CCAGACUCCUACGGGAGGCAGCAGUGAGGAAUAUUGGUCAAUGGGCGGGAGCCUGAACCAGCCAAGCCGCGUGAGGGAAGAAGGUACAGCGUAUCGUAAACCUCUUUUGUCAGGGAACAAAGGCGGGGACUAGUCCCCGGAUGAGGGUACCUGAAGAAAAAGCAUCGGCUAACUCCGUGCCAGCAGCCGCGGUAAUACGGAGGAUGCGAGCGUUAUCCGGAUUUAUUGGGUUUAAAGGGUGCGUAGGCGGGAUGCCAAGUCCGGGGUCAAAUGCGGGGGCCCAACCUGCGUCCGCCGUUGAAACUGGCGUUCUUGAGUGGGCGAGAAGUACGCGGAAUGCGUGGUGUAGCGGUGAAAUGCAUAGAUAUCACGCAGAACUCCGAUUGCGAAGGCAGCGUACCGGCGCCCAACUGACGCUCAUGCACGAAAGCGUGGGUAUCGAACAGGAUUAGAUACCCUGGUACA
This 465-nucleotide ribosomal RNA is filed under the name uncultured bacterium. RNAcentral describes it as "bacterial SSU rRNA". It matches the Rfam family "Bacterial small subunit ribosomal RNA", at positions 331 to 794 of the family's 1533-position model. The record is from RNAcentral.